Alnus glutinosa is the source of this 1630-nucleotide RNA transcript. It is a transcript of the gene named probable beta-1,3-galactosyltransferase 12, with no coding region annotated. Lineage: Eukaryota; Viridiplantae; Streptophyta; Magnoliopsida; Fagales; Betulaceae. The record is from RefSeq and is a predicted model, not a curated record. The transcript has 7 exons.
GGUAAAAAAUGGAAAGGAGGAAGAACGAAAGAACUGAUUCAACUGCAAGACACCAAACAGGUACUGGGAUGGUUCUUUCCGACAGAGACACAAACACUUCCAGCACAAGAAGUGCGUCCGUACCGAGACACCCACUUCACUCACUGUGUGUCCAAGACUCUGAUCCCAGUCGCCUUCUCAAAAUUCACGGAAAUGCCACUCUUCUCUCAUAGUAACCGCCCCUCACCCUCUCUUCCCACCUCCUACUCCUCCAAACCCCUGAAGCCCCAAAAACUCAAUUCUACCCCUCCCCCCUACCGCCUCCCCCUGCCCAUUCUCGUCUUUUCACUCCUCUGCUUCCUCUUCGGCCUCUCCGGCACAAUCUUCGCCGUCUCCUCCCUCCGCCGCCCCAGACCCGUGCCCGUCUUCCGAUGCGGCCGAUCCGAAGACACUUUCCGGGCAUUCUAUACGGCCUCCAGUUCUCGGCAGCUCGGAGAUCAUGGGGGCUUGGUGGAGCGCCCUAAGGUUCUUGGGUUCGUCGGAAUUCAGACCGGGUUCGGCUCCGCUGAUCGCCGGGCAGCCCUGCGGAGCACUUGGUUUCCUUCCGACCCAGAUGGACUUUUGAGAUUGGAACAAGCUACUGGUUUAGCUUUUAGGUUUGUAAUUGGACUAUCGAAAAAUGCAAAAAAUAUGGCAGAGCUUCAUGAAGAGGUGGAGAAGUACAGAGAUUUCAUGCUUAUUGAUGUCGUGGAAGAAUAUUCAAAGCUUCCAUACAAAUCGCUGGCAUUUUUCAAAGCAGCUUUUGAACUUUUUGAAGCAGAUUAUUAUGUCAAAGCUGAUGAUGACAUUUAUUUACGCCCAGAUCGGCUAUCAACUCUUCUAGCUAAGGAGCGAACACAUUCACUGACUUACAUUGGAUGCAUGAAGAAAGGACCAGUGAUAACUGACCCUAAAAAUAAAUGGUAUGAGAAAUCCGGACAUCUGAUUGGAAAUGAAUACUUUUUACAUGCUUAUGGUCCUAUAUAUGUUCUUUCUGCAGAGGUGGUAGCUUCACUGGCAGCUGCUAGAAAUAACAGCCUUCAGUUUGAGGAUACUUAGCAAUGAGGAUGUCACAAUUGGGUCAUGGAUGCUUGCUAUGAAUGUCCAUCACGAAGAUAACAAGGCAAUAUGUGACCCUCGAUGCACGCCUACAUCUAUUGCAGUGUGGGACAUCCCAAAAUGUUCAGGUUUAUGCAACCCAUCUACCAGGUUGAAGGAGCUUCACGAGAUUAGUAUGUGCUCCAAAAGUCCGACCUUGCCUCCUGAUGACAGAUAGUACGUGAAAAUAGUCUGGCAUGAAAUUACACCCUACAUGCUGAAAAUACAGGAAGAUGAUCAGCUUGCUUAAGGGGGAAAAGAUAAAAAUAUAUAGGUCUUUGAAGCUACCUUCUGAAGACAUGACAUCUCCUUUUGUAGUCUUCCAUCUAUGCUUGUUGUGCAAGCCAUGUACUUUUAUUGAGCUUCUCCUAUGACAUCUUCCUCGGAUGAUUCCACUCAUUAAUCUACGGUACCAGUGAAUAGUACGGUGUUAGUACCUGAAGAAUAUAUGAAUAGGAUGGCGGUAUAUGAAAAUAAAUAAAUAAACUAUAUAUAAACCAUGGUUUUUCUUUCA